GUGCACCAGUCGAGAAACCUUUACAAUGUCUUCACGGACGAUAGGGGGAAUCCCUGAGUGCUCUAGCAUUGCUAGAGCUUUUGCUUACUGAAAAAAGGUAGGCGAAUAAGUGGUGGGUAAGACGGGUGCCAGCCGCCGCGGUAAUACCCGCGCCACAAGUGGUGACCACGUUUAUGGGUCUAAAAGCGUUCGGUAGCCGGCCUGAUAAAUUCUCGGUGAAAUCCU
Molecule: ribosomal RNA, 225 nt
Filed under: uncultured microorganism
Description: partial 16S ribosomal RNA
Rfam family: Archaeal small subunit ribosomal RNA
Source: RNAcentral